AAGGUGGGUUCAGGCUGAAUGGAAACCAGCCAGAGAGUGCAAAGGCAUAAACCCGCUUGACUGCAAGGCCAACGCGCCGAGCAGAGACGAAAGUCGGACUUAGUGAUCCUACGGCACAGAGUGGAAUGGCCGUAGCUUACCGGAUAAAAGCUACCCUGGGGAUAACAGGCUAGUCUUGCCCAAGAGUUCACAUCGACGGCAAGGCUCGGCACCUCGAUGUCGGCUCAUCACAUCCUGGGGCUGGAUAAGGUCCCAAGGGUUGGGCUGUUCGCCCAUUAAAGUGGUACGUGAGCUGGGUUCAGACCGUCGUGAGACAGGUCGGUCUCUAUCCGCUGUGGGCGUUAGGAGUUUGAGAGGCGCUGCCCCUAGUACGAGAGGACCGGGGUGGACGGAGCGCUCGUGAGUCGGUUGUCGCGCCAGCGGCAUAGCCGAGUAGCGAUCUCCGGAGCAGAUAACCGCUGAAAGCAUCUAAGUGGGAAACUGACCUCAAGAUGAGACUCCUCAUCUCGAAAGAGAGUAAGACCGCUCGAAGACGACGAGCUUGAUAGGCCGGAGGUGGACGCGCAGCAAUGUGUGGAGCUAACCGGUACUAAUGGUCGAGGGCUUUGA
RNAcentral lists this ribosomal RNA (609 nucleotides) under cyanobacterium TDX16. Its description in RNAcentral is "bacterial LSU rRNA". It matches the Rfam family "Bacterial large subunit ribosomal RNA", at positions 2313 to 2925 of the family's 2925-position model. The record is from RNAcentral. Lineage: Bacteria; Bacillati; Cyanobacteriota.